Molecule: unclassified non-coding RNA, 320 nt
Filed under: plant metagenome
Description: partial contains 5.8S ribosomal RNA, internal transcribed spacer 2, and large subunit ribosomal RNA
Rfam family: 5.8S ribosomal RNA (bases 1-105)
Source: RNAcentral
GAAAUGCGAUAAGUAAUGUGAAUUGCAGAAUUCAGUGAAUCAUCGAAUCUUUGAACGCACUUUGCGCCCGCCAGUAUUCUGGCGGGCAUGCCUGUUCGAGCGUCAUUACAACCCUCAGGCCCCCGGGCCUGGCGUUGGGGAUCGGCGGAAGCCCCCUGCGGGCACAACGCCGUCCCCCAAAUACAGUGGCGGUCCCGCCGCAGCUUCCAUUGCGUAGUAGCUAACACCUCGCAACUGGAGAGCGGCGCGGCCACGCCGUAAAACACCCAACUUCUGAAUGUUGACCUCGAAUCAGGUAGGAAUACCCGCUGAACUUAAGC